RNAcentral lists this non-coding RNA (252 nucleotides) under Desulfosporosinus meridiei. Its description in RNAcentral is "T-box sequence". It matches the Rfam family "T-box leader". From Rfam's summary of the family: Uncharged tRNA acts as the effector for transcription antitermination of genes in the T-box leader family. T-boxes are found upstream of many aminoacyl-tRNA synthetase genes and some amino acid biosynthetic genes usually in Gram-positive bacteria. Lineage: Bacteria; Bacillati; Bacillota; Clostridia; Eubacteriales; Desulfitobacteriaceae. The record is from RNAcentral.
UAUAAACCGUGGAUGGGGAAGUAAAACCGCAUGACCAACCUCAAAGAGAGUCGAGUAGGGUGGAAGCUUGACAGGUAACGGAGCGGGUAAAUGGGCCUCAGAGGGUGGAACGAAAAAGCGCCUUGCUUUAGUAGUUACCAACGCAAAGCCAGCGUUAUCGGGCUGAGGGUGUGUUGGCACUCUGCAUGAGAGGAUGCAUGUAUAUUUAUGCAUCAAUUAAGGUGGUACCGCAGAUUAACGUCUGUCCUUAUU